RNAcentral lists this ribosomal RNA (399 nucleotides) under uncultured bacterium. RNAcentral's name for it is "bacterial SSU rRNA". It matches the Rfam family "Bacterial small subunit ribosomal RNA", at positions 28 to 419 of the family's 1533-position model. The record is from RNAcentral.
GACGAUCGCUGGCGGCGUGCCUAACACAUGCAAGUCGAGCGGGGUCCAUCCGGUAGCAAUACCGGGGAAGACCUAGCGGCGAACGGGUGAGUAACACGUGAGAAACCUGCCCCGAAGUCUGGGAUAACCCGAGGAAACUCGAGCUAAUACCGGAUGUCUUCUUCUGAUCGCAUGGUCGGAUGAAGAAAGAUUUAUCGCUUCGGGAGGGUCUCGCGGCCUAUCAGCUAGUUGGCGGGGUAACGGCCCACCAAGGCGUCGACGGGUAGCUGGUCUGAGAGGACGAUCAGCCACACUGGGACUGAGACACGGCCCAGACUCCUACGGGAGGCAGCAGUGGGGAAUAUUGCGCAAUGGGCGAAAGCCUGACGCAGCAACGCCGCGUGCGGGAUGAAGGCCUUC